This 213-nucleotide long non-coding RNA is filed under the name Mytilus galloprovincialis (Mediterranean mussel). Lineage: Eukaryota; Metazoa; Mollusca; Bivalvia; Mytilida; Mytilidae. The record is from RNAcentral.
CAUAGUGGCCUUUUGUAGCUGACUAUAUAUAUGUUUUCAUAUAUCCACUGCAUUUAAACUCUGGUGGAUAGUUGUCUCAUUGGCAAUCACACCACAUCUAACAGUACUUUAUUUCAACUCCUAUGUUGCGUUUUGUAUACUGUAACAUUGUUUAAUUAGUACGCAGACCCCGGAGCCGUCUUUUCUGAAGCCCGAGCAAAAGCGCUUGUUCCG